GGUAUUGAAAUAAGAUUUUAAAUGAAUGCUAAGAGAAUGAUUAAACAAUUAAAAGCUUUCUUUAAUUAAAUAAUUAAAUUUAAUUUUUUUAGUGCAAAAGCAAAAAUAAAAUUUAGGGACAAGAAGACCCUAUGAAUUUUUUAUUGUUAAUAAUUAUAAUUUAAAUUAUUAAUAAUUUAAUUGGGGUGAUAAAAAAAGAAUAAGUAUCUUUUUAGUUAUAAAAUAAGUUCCGUUUUUAGCGAUUUAAUGAAAUAAAUACUCUAGGGAUAACAGCGUAAUAAUUUUGGAUAGUUCAUAUAGAUAAAAUAGUUUGCGACCUCGAUGUUGGAUUAGGAUUCUUUUUUGGUGAAGAA
This 353-nucleotide ribosomal RNA is filed under the name Ixodes scapularis (black-legged tick). RNAcentral describes it as "partial 16S ribosomal RNA". Lineage: Eukaryota; Metazoa; Arthropoda; Arachnida; Ixodida; Ixodidae. The record is from RNAcentral.